CACAUUCAGGAUGGUCUUUCAGUUUAGUG
Molecule: non-coding RNA, 29 nt
Filed under: Mus musculus (house mouse)
Lineage: Eukaryota; Metazoa; Chordata; Mammalia; Rodentia; Muridae
Source: RNAcentral